UACAGUGAUUAUCACUCUGAACACACCUGAUUUCAUUUGAUCUCAAAAGCUAAGUAGGGUUGGUUAGUAUUUGGAUGGGAGAAAAAUAUUUUUGUAU
Molecule: ribosomal RNA, 97 nt
Filed under: Microcebus murinus (gray mouse lemur)
Lineage: Eukaryota; Metazoa; Chordata; Mammalia; Primates; Cheirogaleidae
Source: RNAcentral